UUUCCCAGAACCACACCCAAACCCUCUUCAACCCCCUGUGUGUGGGCUGUGGCAGGGGUCAACCUCUUGUGUUCAGGUCCCCUAGGGGCCCACCCCACUCUACUAGGAACCAGGGGUCGGAUGCUGUCAGGGGAAGCCGUGUGGCUUGAGGAGUCGAGACCCUUUCCAAAUCCACCCCUGUGGAAUCUUGAGCAAAUCCCCACACCCAACUUAGCUUCAGUGUGGUGGAGGUGGGCCCAGCGCCUCUCUUGAGGGAGUGCUGCUGUAGGUACCUUCCAGCAGGCCAGGCUCCUGAGCUGGGAUCACCAUGAAGCUGGCAUCUCUCCUGGUAGCACCUAUUCUGGGGCCUUGAGCUCCGACACUCUUACGCUGGAGUUGAACUUAAGCUGCAGCGGGAGGGCUUUAAGCUAGACCCGCAGAAUUUGAGCUCUAAGGACUUGCUUAAGAUUGGGAGAGUAACUUCUUCUGCAAGGGGGCCAGCAGAGGGGCUCUCGGGUUGAAGGAGGGUUAUGCUGGCCCAAGCAUUGCCAUCAUAGCCACAGCUGGGCUGUGCCUCAGAGUCUGCAGGAGCAGGGCCCUUGGCCUUGGCUCCCAGGACAGUUGGGAGAUGGAGGGCAGCCCCAGUAGCUGCCAUCUUCCUGUCAUCUACCCACACGUCUCCAGAUCUGUUUGCCUGCAUCAGGGCCUGACUCCUGCCCCACAUGGGCCUGUGUACCAUUCAAGAAGAAAGCUUAGCUGUCUCCAACCCCGGCAUUCCCACAAGGGAAAGCUUGAGAUCUGCUGAGGGAGGGUCCUGGGAAGAGGCCUUCUUCUGUUCUCCUGUACAGCAGAGGUGUUGGCAUGUGCACGUGUGUGUCUGCAUGUGUGUGCAUCUGUGAACAUCUGUCUGUGGCUCUCGUUCUGAGCACCUGUGUGUCUCCGCUUCUGCCUUGUUCUGUCUUGGCACCUCUGGGUGUCUGUAUGUCUUUUUCUAAUCCUGGCUCUCUUCUUGUGCUUCUCUGGGCCUCGUCUUUUCAUCUUUGUGUUUUUUGCUUACUGUAUUGUAAUAUCCAUUUCCAUGCUGGAAUUCUCCUACCAGACCAUGGGCUCUGUGAGGGCAAAGACUGUCUUUUAUCUUCCCAUGUGUGCACAUAGUAGGAGCCUAGUACAUUUCUGUGGAGUAAAUGAAUGGAGAUCUGGCUCUGUUAAGAAUCCCUUAGUGUCUGUGUCUCUGGCUGCCUGACUUUCUGGGUCUCUGUGACCCUCAGAAGCUAGUUUUGUGGUUCUGUGUAGGGGUAUACCUGGUUUAUUCCCAUGCAUAUGUGUAUUUCUUGUGGUAGUUUUUCUCUCCUUGUCUAUGUCUGUUUCAGGUUUGUUGAUCUGCCUGAAUGUCUCUGCAUGUGGCCCCACAUCUCUCCUCAUGCCUGCUGGUCUCAGAGUAUAAUGGAUGCUGAGUCCAAAGCAGGUGUUUCCUGGGCAUUCGUGGCAGGGGAAUUGGACUUCCAAAUCUGCCCCCUCUCCACGUGGGUGAGCUUCUCCCAGACUCUCCAUCAUAAGAGGCUGUGAGCACCCGAAACUGAUCACCUUCUCAGCCUAGAAUGGGAGUGAGCUGUGGUCCUCUCCCUCUCUUCCUCUCACUGUGACCCCAAUCACAGCACCUGCCCUUCUCUAAUUGGCUGAUGUCAAUGGAAGGGGGAAGGGAAGGCUGAUGUCCAAGGAGGAAAUCCCAUUAGGUGAGCCAGAGCCAAGUUAUUAGUGGUUAAGAUGUAAUUGGAGUUGGUGAAUAAUCUCAUUCAAUUCAUCACGUAUUUAUGGCGCAUCCAGCUGUGUGACCUUGGGUGCGGUGUUUCACCUCUCUGAUGAAAUAAGACCUUAAUGUUUGCCAAGGACCCUGGAUUUCUGAGAUUCUGAGUCCCUGAAGCUGGAAGGAAUCUCUACCGAAUUCCGAUCACUUGCUGCUGCCUCUCUCCUUGCUUCUGAGUUAUUUGUGCAAUUACCUGCAUUCCCUCCUAAACUCUACAUUCCUUCAGGCCAGGGUCUUAUAUAACUAUCCCCCACAGUUUAGUGCCUUGCACACAGUGGGUGAUUUAUCAGUUUUUCUGAAUGGAUGACUGAAUGCUAGGCACUGUGAUUAAUAACAAAGAAAUAGAAUUAGAAGCCCUGUGCUUAGGCAGUAUACAAUUUUAGGGGAACGGGGAGGGCGGAGAUGACCUUUGCACUUUAUAUUAUAGCUUUGGGAACUUGUGUGAGUUCCUCAGCCUCUUUGUGCCUCUAUCUCCUCAUUAAUAACAUGCAAAUAAUAACGGCUACUAACUAAGGAUUUUGUGAGGAUUAAAUGUGAUCGUAUGUACAGUUAAAUCCUUCGUGUAGUGUUUGGCACUUAGUAGAUCCUUAAUUAAUGUGUGUUCCUGCUCUAUUCCCAACUAGAGAACAAGCACCAAGCCCUGUGGAUUUCAGAAGAUGAGGAAACUGAGGCCUAGGAGAGUUAAAGGACCGCCCAAGACCACACCACCGCACAGAGACACCAGGACUGAACGCUUGUGUCUUCUGACUUGCAGCUUCCAGCAGCCUGGAUCAUGCUCUUCUUACCUCAUCUGGGUAGCAAGAGAAGGCUGCUCUAAAGCUACCUUACUCCCAGGUUGCAGGAGCAGAACCAAGACGUUCAGAUCCCUUGAGGAAGAGAAUGGCUCAGCAUGAGGGGGCCUCACCCAGAGCCCUGGGUCUGCUCUGAGCCCCUCACUUAAAGAGGGAAGCUGACCAAAUGAGCAGAACAGAGCAACAGAGCAAGUGGCACCAGAGAGACCACCCACGGAGGGCACUUCGUGAAGAGCGAGGAUUGGCUCUGACCAGUGCUUAUCAGCAGGCACACAGGUAGUUGAAAACAAAUCCCAGAUAUCAGGUGACUUCAUGUGGAAUGACUUCACCCCCGCUAGGUGCCCAGGAGCCCUGGAGAUAAUGAAGCUUCUGAGAUCCAAGCGAGAAGGUGAAUGUGCAGCUUCUGGUGCGGUGCCCAGCACGGAGUUGGUGGACAGUGACCUGGAGCUCCCCACUUGCUCUGUCUCCUGACUGAAGCCAUCCUCAUCUCUCUCCUGGACUGUGAAACCUGGCUUCCCACUGGUUUCCACCUCACCUCACCCCUCUCCAAAGAACCCAUUGUCCCCAGCUGCCAGAGGCUCUUUCUAAGCCCAGAGCCCUCCAUCGAGACAGGCCCUGUCUCAGAACUCCAGCUGACUUCCCACCAUGUUUGAGUCAUGUCCAGCCCCAUCCUCUACGGCCCUCCACCACCGUCCACCUCAAUUCUCCUGCCUCAUGCCCCGUCCUCAGGCUUCCUGUCCACCCACCGUAGACUGAGCCUACCUCGUCCACCGCCUCACCCUUCCCCACAUGCGCUGUGCAAACUGCUACCUCCUCUUCUUUGCUCCCUCUGCCUGGAAUGGAUGCUUGUUGAAAUUUCAGCUUUCUUCCCAGGUAUUCACCCCCGAUGACGUCACCUCUUUGAAGCCCUCCUUUGUGAUCCCAUGGAGCUUCACAUCUACCAUGUUUGGGACUCAGAUCUUUGCCUCAUCUGUCAGUGGUGUAGGAGGGUCUGUAGGUGCUUUCAAGGUGGAGUCCAGGUCCUAAGCAUCUCUGUCCCUCAAUACCUCUCUAGUUUCCAAGUCUUGGCACUGCAGAAGGAUGAUACCUGGUGCAUGGUCGGGGGGAGCGUCCUGCUGUUUCUAAAUCUCAUGACCAAGUCAACUGCCUGCUCCAGCUGUGGGAGAGAAUGGGCAGCUGCCCA
RNAcentral lists this long non-coding RNA (3757 nucleotides) under Homo sapiens (human). RNAcentral's name for it is "HSALNT0389547". The record is from RNAcentral. Lineage: Eukaryota; Metazoa; Chordata; Mammalia; Primates; Hominidae.